AACUUGAGAAAAGGCCAAGAAAAUAUUUCCCAUUAAAGGUACAUGUAUAUACAACAGUUAAUUCAUAGGAGUUGAAAAUAACAUGCAGUUUGGUUAACGGGAAAUAAGAAAAGAAUAUUUACAUCAUAAUCUAUCAACCAUAUAAUUGAAAAUUAACUGUUUUGUGCCAAGGUAUGCAGAGUGGGUUGAAUAAAGAUGGAUUCUAUGCCUGAGGUUCGAUAAAGGCACGAAACAAGUGAACCGUUGGUAUAUUUUUUCUUUCAUCUGAUGGACUGAUUUUCCUAACAUGAAUAAAUCGAGGACUACCCAAAAAGUCAACGACGGUUUUGCGACUGAACACUUUGGGAAAUCUCGCAUACCACCAGGAAUAUUUGAGAUAUUCUAAAACAGUUAAAAGAUAUUUCAAUGGGAUGUAUCCGUUCACCUUCAAACAUCGAUGAGGAAAAGUUUUGUUCUAUAUAGCAAUGGAAUUACUGUGAGAUGACAAAGACGAAUGUGCUGUUGGACAAUAUAUGGUUUUCAGGAAAUGUACAUGCAUUAAUUACAUCCACAAAAACCUCUCUAAUUAAAAUCCUGCGACGCUAUAUAUAUUUGGAAUAAAUGUAGUUACAAAACUUUAUUUCUAGUCAAAUUCAUUCAUAAACCAUAACUAAAAUCUGAGAAAAUAAAA
Long non-coding RNA from Saccostrea cuccullata (small rock oyster), 670 nucleotides. RefSeq lists it as uncharacterized. Lineage: Eukaryota; Metazoa; Mollusca; Bivalvia; Ostreida; Ostreidae. The transcript is spliced from 3 exons. The record is from RefSeq and is a predicted model, not a curated record.